This 10150-nucleotide long non-coding RNA is filed under the name Diabrotica virgifera virgifera (western corn rootworm). Its description in RNAcentral is "uncharacterized LOC126879466". Lineage: Eukaryota; Metazoa; Arthropoda; Insecta; Coleoptera; Chrysomelidae. The record is from RNAcentral.
UAAAAAACAUGUAUUCGUAUUUAUUUUCCUUCCGUUUAGUCAGAGGCGCUGAUGUCGGCAUUGUGAUUGGUGGAACAUGACUUUUGACAAAUCCUGCGCUAUCUGUGAAUCUUUAAUCUGCACUCUUGACCUGUGCUUGGUGGUGUGAACAGCGCUUGGCUCCGCGUUCUACGAAUACGAGGUCUUUCCUAAGUACUAACGUACCUAACCUACCCCAAAUUGUUUUUGUCUGGUUUCUCCUCUGUGGCGUUCCUAUUACCAUUUGUUUACAAUCUGUGUUUGUGUUUCCUAUUUGUAUAUAACACCUUAACCUCAAAUUUUUAAAAGUCAGGAAAAAAUGCUACCAUCUCACGCAAAUGUCAGCGGCCCUGAUAUGGUUUAGAACCAGAUUACAUCACGGUCGCCAACAAAUAGUGCUGGCGAAUCGCCUCGUAGCGAAGCCAUAAAAAAAGAGAAGAAGAAGAAUCUUUAAUCUGUGUUCGUGUUAGUUCGUUCGUUGUCGUUGUCGUUCACUUAUUUUAUAUGGUCGGUUAUGUGAUGUGUUUGGUGUUUGUGUUUAGUUUCUGUCACCAUAAAAAGCUGAUAUUCAGUCGUGUUUUUUGAUAUUUUUGUUAUUUCAUAAUCGAGUACCUUUUUAAAGGUAAGUUUUUCUGAUUGUAGGUACUGUUUAUCCAACAGUUUUAAAAUACGCAUUUUAUUUCGCGUUUUGUUGUUGGGUCUAAUGGCCGAUCAGCUGUUGUGUGCAGCUGAUAAAUUCAACAAGUAAACAUAUAUUUAAUCGAAAUUAAAUACUCAUAUUUCUAUGUAAAAUGUCACAUUAUUGUAUAAAUAAAUAAUUAAGAAACAAAAGUGGUUUGUGUUUUACCUUGAUUGUCCACUUGAAUAAAAUAAUAUUAAAUAUUGGAAGUACCGUAUGGAGGCUAUGGUGUACCUAGCGUGGAGGCUAGGCUAGAUAACGCUACCCUUCUUAUCCAAUCAACAGCAAGAACGUUUAAAAUUUCACACCUAUCAUGUCAAAGCUACAGACCACUUAUGUGGAGGCCAGAUUUGUAGUAUCCUUCCAAUUUUCCAGGUGCUGAAAUACGUGACAUAUUCUUUGGGGAGAGAUUAAAUAUCCAGCACGCAACCGCACUGUUGCCAGAUUUACAUCUUUAGCGGGAAGUUUAAAAUUUGACAGUUGUGUUUUCUCGAAUCCGAAUCUUAACCUUACUUUUACAGGUGAUUAUGUGUAUGUAAAUAAAUUGAAACAAGUCUUGUUUGUAUAUACUGUUAUUAUUUAAAACUCUAAAUAAUUUAUGUUAGUCUUUUAACAAAAAUGAAGCUCAAAAAACUACACUUGUUUACAGUGCAAAUGAUUUUUUAAUGGCAAGAGGGAUUUAGGAUUUCAUUUGCAGGAAAAACAUGGGCAACCUACCCAGUUGGUAAAAUUGCAAUUCAAAAACUCUUUAGAUUUUACUGUCUGGAUGGCACAGGAAGAGAAACAAAAUAAUGUUCUGUACUGCAGUCACAGGAGUACAUAGUAGAGAUAUAAUAAAAAAGCUGUUCAACAUCACCGGACACCAUUUAAUUUUUAGAAAAUGAAAAGUCUUCAGGUUGAAUGCGAUCUGUAGUAUUGCUACAUAAUGAAUGUGUUUAGAUAUGGUAUUUUUUAUUGAAUAAUCUAUACAGGCCCAACUAAAUGAAUGUAUACAUAUAUUGCAGAAAGUGCAUUUAAUGGAGCAGCAAGUUUUUUUUGUGUUUCAAUGAGGUAUUCAGUUUUUUCUUUUAGUAUAUACACAUUAUCUUGUAAAAUAGCAAGCUAAUACAGUUCGAUAUCUAGACAUUAUAGAGCUUUCAACAGGUUUACCUUUUUUAAGCUUUAUAAUUCUUUCGACAGUUUUAUUUCUUAAAUAAACAAUAACAACCGAUGUUUCAAUGGCCAUAUUAUUGGUAUUAAUUCCAUAACCCUUCCUAUAACAAUAGUCCCAUUGUUGGAAGUUAUUGCACUAGUUCUGCUGGAAAUACUUACCAAAGUUGUAUGUAUCUGCAUCAUUCAUCAGAAAUUUCAUUAAGAUUUACUUGCCAUGCCCUCUCUAUGUACCAGGGACAUAACAGUCUAGUAGGAACAGAAAACAUUACGUUCAGGCAUUGUAAAAAGUGUUAUGUCUGACAUGAAAAUAUUUGACUAUAUAAUACCAGAACGCUCAUGUAUUUUUUCAAAAAAAGUGGGUAAAUAAAAGUAUCUUUUCUAUUUGAACAUAAGAAAACAAUGGGAAAUUCAUACUGUCAUAAGUUCAAAGUGAUAGGAAAUGAGCCCAUGAGUUCCAUAAAUUGCGAUUUACCAAACUUAAUUAAUAUUUCCUUUUGCACAGCAUUCAUGGAAAUACUUAAGACAAAAAUCAUUAUUGUUAAAUUCGGGAUGAUUAUCAAUUAGUAUGCCCUGUUGGUUGUAAAAUAAUAUUGGACAUGACCCAGUCUGUAAGCAUUCAAUUACCCAUAAAUGAACACUGGUUGCGCCUACAUCCAUCUUUCAAAUCAAUGUCAUAGGAGUGUUUAAUGUUCGUGUUAUCUUGUCUUGUAAGUAAAUCAGCUCUCAAUAAUAUUUAAAAAAUGGACUAGUGGUAACAUUUUUGUUUUAAAUUAUAUUGUGUAUAUGCAAAUAUUUUACUUACAUUUUUGAAUAUGCCCAUAAUGUGUUUUAAAAUAAUAAAUGUUACUGCACAACAAUCAGUUUGAAUAUUUUUAGAUAUGUACUAGUAUUUGAUUAGUACACGAAAUGCAGCAGACAUGUUCUCUCUUCUAUCUUAAGAGCUGAUUUAAUCUCUACUUGUAUCUGUAAAGUUUAUCAUUUUUCCCAUAGCCAAUUUUAACACUCCCGGUUCCUCAACGUCUAUAUCCAAACCUGUUACAAUCACAUUAUCAUAUUUCUCUUCUCGUUCUCUAGGUAAUCUAGUCUAGUAAUUAAUUCUCGAACUGUCUUGUUUGUAUUAAAUAUCUUAAUUAUGUACUUAUUUUAUUUUUAUAAUGAAAAUUAAUAAAUUAACCAUAUGCAGCACAGCAAACAAAUGUUUUCGGAAAUAUAUUUAUAAGAAUUUAAUUGCCUCUUUUUUGUAUAGGUAUGACAUAUUAAGUAAAAACUACUACAUUUAUUAAUAUAAUAUUUAUUAUUAUACAUAAGUAAAAACUAUUUUUAUAGCUAGGAAUUACUUUAUUAAAUGGUCUUAAACCUGUUCAUAAAUUUUGUUACUAUAUUUUUUAAUUCCGAUUAUAACAAUAAUAACUUUUUAGUUUAGAUUUAGGUCAAAGUGUGUAAUGUCAUGUUUUAUGUAUUUUUUAACCCUAACACAUUUGUAUGUAGCAAAUCAUAUUUGUUAUUCUUAUCUUAUUUUAAUUAUAUUCAUUUAAGUUUUGAUUUAAUGAAAUAAACCUAUCAGUCAAAAAACUGUUGUUUAGUUGUGUACACCCAAAAACUAGCUUGAGGUAAUACAGACGUCAAUUGAAUAUGACAAAUCCACGUCAUAAAGACGUCUUUCUAUGGUCAAAAUGUCAGCCUAAAGACGUCAUUUAUUAUGUCUUAUGUCACAAAAUUACCACAAUAAAACGUUAAAUAUAAAAUUGCUCAAUUUAAUGUCAUUCAAGUUCCAUGUGAUGUAUAGGGUUUUUCAUCAACAGUCAUUUGUUUCGGCUUCUGUCAGAUUUCAUAUAAUCCGUGUAUAAUAUUAAUAUACACAGAUUAUACGAAAUGUGACAGAAGCCCGAAACAAGUACAAUCGAUGAAAAGCCCAAUUGAUGGCAAAUUGGUUAUUAAACCUGACAUUUCGGUCAUGUUUAUGUCACCGAUCAAUUAAGACUAAAAAAACACCUCAUUUAGAUGUUACUCUGUUUGCUGGUCAGUUAGAUGAUUUGAAAUACAUGGAUUACUGAAUUUUAAAAAAGUUAAGAAAAGGUAAACUAUGGAAGCACUGGGUAAAGAAGAAAGAUGCAUUAAAUAUAAUAAAAAAAGACAACCUAUGACAAUAAAACAUUAACAUCAAAAUUGUUAACCUUUAUUCUGCUCAUACUUAACAUAAUCUUCCUAGUUGAAGUCCACAUACUGUGUAUUAAAACUUAAAGCCACUUUGUGGGCGUUUUUGGCAUAUUUUAAUAAUUGUUUUUAAUAGUAAAAUGUAUUAACAAAAUAGAUAUAAAAUUAUUAUUAUUAACACAUUCAUGAACACGCUUCGCCUGUAGCCACGUCUUCUUAUACUGCUACCUAUAUCUUCUUAUUCUUACUUGCUUUGGCUUUCAAUAUAAACCACAAUAAUACCACCAUUCAUUUUUAAGUAUAUUAUAUAUGUACCUAUAUUAUGUAAGAAAAUAGAAUUUACCUAAUAACUCACCUCGUCCCCAGGUAAAGUAAAGGUGCUACACCACUUAAAUGUUUUUUCAUUCUUAUUUAUUUUGUAACUUUAGCCAGAAGUUAUAUGAUGGGAAUUAUUCAUACAAUACAUAUUAAUACUAUUAAAACUAAUACCUAUUAAUAUUCUAAAUAAUUAUUUAAUACUAAAAUAAAGAAAAAUGUCUAUCUAUACUACAUUAAUUGAGACAACAUUUUCACUUUUCUUUUUGCAGGAUCCUUGGGAUUUUAAAGCUCUUCUCUAUCUUGUUUUGUACAAUAAUUGUUUGAGAAUGGCAUACAUACAUAAUAAGAUGUUUCAUGUUCUUGUACUCCUGUGACUGAAUAUUAUUUUGUUUCUCUUUCUGUGACAUCCACACAGUAAAAUCUACAAAAACAGAACAGGUGAUUACAUGGGAAGUUAUACCAGUCUAUAUUCAUUGGUUAUACUACUUAUAGCUUACAUUUAUCUAGUAUCUACCUACAUAAAACUACCUUUGAUAUCAAUAUCAACCUUAAUACCCAAAAAAAUUAAUAAUAAUGUGGAAGUUGUUCCAUACCUACAAAUUUUACCAACUGGGUAGGUUGCCCAUGUUUUUCCUGCAAAUUAAAUCGUAAAUCCCUAUUAUUGCCAUUAAUUUGCACUGUAAACAAGUAUAUCUCUUUUGAGUUUAAUUCUUUUCAAAAGACUAACAUAACGAGUUUUAAAUUAUAACAUAGCAUAUUUUAGUACAUUACUUGGUUCAAUUUAUUUACAUUGUACAUUUUUUGUACAUAAUCAAAUCACCUGUAAAGUAAGGUUAAGAUUCGGAAUCAAAAAAAUACAACUGUCAAAUUUUAAACCAACUGACAUUAGAUAUUUUAAAAUUCCCGCUAAAAGAAAAGAAGUAAAUCUGGCAACAGUGCGGUUGCGUGCUGGAUAUUUAAUCUCUCCCUAUUCUUUGAAGGGUAAGAUCGCAUUCUACCAAAUCACACAACACUUUUUUCUAUGUUGUUUAUUUUUCGUUUACUCAGGUUUAACCUCACUUAACUAGAUAGAUCGAGAAAUAUUAAAUUACUAUUACUAUUAUUCAGGUUGAAAAAUGCCUUCCUCUAAGGUAAAAGGUUGCGAAGUCGAUUGGGGAAAAAUAAUGUGAAAAUGAAUUCUUUCCCAAAAGAAUCUGAACGACGGAAAGUGUGGAUUAAAAAUAUAGGGUUAAAACAAGAUCCAAACAAAUAUGCUGUUGUUUGUGAAGUAAGUUCUUCAAGUAAAAUUAAUUGAGUAUUUGCAUUUGAUGCAUUCUCUUUAUAAUAUUUAUAUCAUUAAAAAAUAUUGUAUUCAAUUUUUGAAUGUUUAGGAACACUACUUCUGACAUGUUGAAAAAAGUUAGACAAGAUGGCAGCAGAAAAUUAAAAUGCAAUGCUGUACCAACAAUAUUUAGAGAAGAAAGCGAAAGUAUUUAAUUAUUUAUAUUGGUUUUUUGUUUAUUCACCAAUUUAACACCUAUAGAUAUUUGUAUAACAAGAGAGCGAAGUGCACCUUUUCCUCCCAAAAAUAAAGUUUACUAGUUUACUACAGUAAUCAUUCAAGGGAGGAAAAGGCACUUCUCCCAUGUUAUACAUUUUUCCACCUCCCUCAAAUAAGUAAUUUUUUCAUUUUUAAAAUAUUUAUAUAACUGUUGAUUGAAUACAUGAAUCAUAAUUGAAUACAGGAAUUUGUGUAUUCAAUCAACAAUAGAACUAACAAAAUUUAUUAGAGAACUAAAACUAACAAGUAGGUACAGUAUAACUAUCAAAUUAUUAAUGAAAAAUUUUUAAAUCAAAAUAACAAUUUACUGUUUUUACCAUUUUGCAACAUCUAUAAAUAAAAUUUAAAAUGUAUGGAUACUUACCUAAUAGAAAAUAGAGUAAUAGUAUAGGGUGUCAAUAAGUUAUUUCAUCUAUGCUAUGACAUAGUAUGACGUCAACAUCACUUUUACUUUUACUCCCUAGGGAUUAAAAGUACUUUGUUUCCCUAGGGAGAAAAAAAUAUGACUAUGCUCCCUACAAUGAGGCCAGGAAAUGUAUACUUUGGAUAGAGGUAGGUGGGAAAAUCUGUUUUAUUCAGUUAUUGUGAUUUGUUUCUUACAGACAAUCGGUUUGUUCUAGCAUGAGUUUCAAACGGUCUGAAACCAUUAGCGAAUAGUGGACCAGCGUGAGUAGAGGGCACUCGUAACUGUAUUAUGUUCUCUCACUGACCAACUGUUUGCUGACUAGUUUGACUGUUUGCUAGAACAAACCUAUUAUUCAAACAAAAUGUCCUCUACGUCAGACUGAUCAGAAUUUUAAAAAUGUGUCAUAUCAAUCAAAUCAAAAAAUUUCAAAAAUUGUUCCUGUAACCAUUUUUAGUGGAAAUAAUAACAGUACUUAUAUUGGAUCAGAGAGCCACCCAAUUCAUUGUUAAAGUAUGAUAAACUAAAAGUUAAACAAUUAGGCAUGCACUUCAUAUUAUAUUUAAUGAAAUAUAACUCACUGGUACUCAUACAAACUUGACGGCAAGCAAAUUCAACAAAUUUUUCCUCAUUUAUUAGUUUUUCACUACCGUUAAGUUUGGAAACAAGCGCUGUUGCCAAAUAAAAACAUCUACAGUCGGAAAAAUGAAAGAAUACCCAUGAACGAUCACAUCAAUCACAUAUUUUGUAUUUGCUGUUUUUUUUUCAUAAAUAAUAAAUGAGAGAGAUAGAUUAUUAAUAAUCUGAAUAAUAUGUGAUUGAUGUGAUCGUUCAUGGGUAUUCUUUAAUUUUUUCGACGGUAUGUAUUUACCACAGCAACUACAGGUGACACUGUUUCUCUUUGUCUUUAAGAGUGUGAAACAAAGAUAACUACAGUGGGAAAAAUAAAUAAUACCCAUGAACGAUCACAUCGAUCACUUAUUUUGUGUUUCCUAUCUUUUUCUAUAACAAACGUUUAUUAUUUAUAGAAAAAGACAACAAACAUAAAUUAAGUGAUUGAUGUGAUCAUACAUGGGUAUUCUUUCAUUUUUCCAACUGUAUCUGUAAUAUACGUUGAGCUCGUAGGUAGAGGGGAUAAUUAAAAAAUCGCGAGAGCCAGUAGUGACAAGUCUGUAAACCUUUACUGGAAAUUUGACAUAAAUGUCAAAGUGAAUAAUUUAAAAUUGAAAUUAAAAACAUUAAUUAGAAAAAAUAUUAGUUGGUCAAAGCUGUGGUAUAUAUUUUUAUCUUAAGUAUACUUACGGUUUAAAUACUGAAUUAAGUUUUUUUAAUAUUUUGUAAUAUCUAAUUAUAAUUAGAUAUAAAUCAUCUAAGCGCCAUCUACACGAUAAUUGUGAAUGUAUCUGAAGUAAGAAAUUAAUAUUUCAUUAAGAGAACGUUAAAACAGUUAGCAAAAUUUUUAAAAAAUCGAUUACAAUUUAAUUACUUUUUUGCGUUGUAAAUAUUAAGCGAUAAAAUUAAAUAAUAAAUUUAAAAAUUACUGGUGAAAGUUGAAUUAGUAAUCCGCUAGGAGCGACACCAGCGAAGCUCAGAGCGUAUAAGUGGGUGUGUUUGGACGACCAUAGCGGCUGAAUGUCAGCAGAAAUCGGCUGAGUGGUUGUAUCCAGCUGUGAUAGGGAAAGCUUAGUAAAUCUCUCAGCGGCUGACUUCCAGCGGUGAUGUCUGACAGCUACUGCUGGCUCAGCUGUCCAGCCGCUGUGGUCAUCCGAACGCACCCAGUGUCAGUCAUGUUUUCCUAUAGUAUAGAAGGCUUAGAUAGAAGGUUAUGUAAGAUUUUUGUUUGUUAAUUUUUUCUUCUUCUUUUGUGGCCUUUGGAAGCUGUGCCCAUUUAGCCAGCAACAUUUCUUAAAAUUAAUGCCUAACUAAACCUACCAUACAAAAAAACCAUUACGAACCUAAACGACCAAUCAAGGAUACGUAAGGGAAAGUAAAGUUAUUUAAAAAAUAAACUGUUGUUAAAAUAUAAACUAAAUAAAUAAAAUAUAAAUUGAAAACAAUAAUUUGACAUUAUAAAUGUAACCUCCAAUAUUAUGACAGACGUCAGUUACCAUGACAUCAUAUAUUAUACUAGUCACUAAUUCUAGCCAAUGAAAUGCUUGCUGUAAUAGGAAUGGCAUAUCAAAAAAAUCUGACUAUUCUCUAUAUAUUUUUUCAAAUUUAGAAUAUGGCAACAAGGUGAAAGUUAUGUGCAUUCCUCAUUGUUUAACUUUUCCUAUAUCUUUAGUAUCAGGUCAUCGUACAAUACAAAUACUUCCUGCAAUGAUUGGAAGUAAUGCAGAACAAGAAUUGGAUUUGGAAUCGCCGAGAAAAAGGAAUGGUGUACAAAAUAAGAAAGUAUAUAAAGGACAACAAACAUCUUCCAUAAGCGAUCAAAAUUGUAUAACUGAAAUUCAGGAAAUAGAUUCUGCUCCACCUUUAGGUAUAAAAAAUAUUUUGACAUUUUUUUUUAUUUAAUACACAAUUUAAUUAUUAUAAAUUAAUUUAUAAAUUAUAUUUAUAAAUUUAAUUAAUAAUAAAAUUAUUAUAAAUUAAAAUAAAUUAAAAAUUAUUAUUAUCAAAUUGAAACCCAAUUGGGUAUUCUCUCAUUGCGUGACCGACGAGUAAUUAAGGAUGCAAGGAUGCUCUAUGGCAUAAUUAAUUCAACAGUUUUGUGUCCUCAGCUACUUGAGCAGGUUGGUCUCCAUGUACCUCUCCGCAGAACUCGAUUAAAUCAAACAUUCUAUGUUCCUAUCCAUAGAACCAACUAUGCAUAUAACAACUUUUUAUCUCGAGCACUAAGAUGGGCAAACACUCAACCUGAUCUAGAUUUCUUUGCACCGAAGUCUGAAUUCAUCUCUAGCCUCAGACGUUUGUUUGUUUGAGUAGUUGUUGGAUAUUCAUUAUUGUGAUAUAUGAAUCUGAUUUAUGUGUUUAAGUUUGUGAUAUUUAUAUUUUAUUGUAUUAUUGUUUUAUUAUUACUAUUUUACUGUAGUUUUAUUAUUAUUGACACAUGUAUUAUGUAUAUUGGACUUAUAAACUUGUAAUCUUAUUGGGCAGUGUCCCGUUGAAAAUAAAUAAAUAAAUAAAUUUAAUUUACCAUCUGAUCAUGAAGCUAUAAGUAAAUGGUGUGAAUGUUGAACACAUGAGGGAGAAGCUGCCCUGUGGCAACUCUCCUGUAUAAUAUAUUUUAUAUUAGUUCACAUAAAUAGUUAAUUUAUUAAGUCUGUUGGCCAUGGUUUCUUCAGUCACCUUUCAAAUCCAGGAGGGGUAUUUAGCAGUCUUGAUUCGUUACUUGGAUGAUCCGUUGUCCAUCAAAGAAGUUUCUUGUGAUUAUUCCAAUUUCUUCCUCUACCAAGGACGUGGCAGAGUCAUCUUGUAUAGGGUUUUGUUCAAGUGUAAACACUUUUUUGCGCCAGUCCAGAGCUGUCUGCCAGCGCUGUCUUGAAUAGAAAGGUGGUCUAUUUUUCAUGCCACUGGCAUUCCAGUGAGACUGGCACCAGUUUCUGGAUACAUGUAAACGUUACUUUAUUUUAUGUAAAUAUUAUUUUCAUUCUAGAAUCAAAGGGAGACUCUUUUAACAGGUAAAUGACGCUAUCAUUCUUUUUGUUCUAGAAAAACUGUAAAUAGUAUUUAAGUUAACGAUUGUGAAUGAGUGAGAAGUCUAAUAAAGCCACGACGAGAUACUGUAUUAGAGCGUACGAUUUGGAGGUAUUUUUGAUUAGAUAAAUUUUGUAAAGUACAAUAUAAAUUAGAUUUGAUAAUAUGUAGUAUUUCCUAAUAAAUUAAAUACUAUUAAGUGUUUAUUGUUCUUGUAAGUUAGUGUGGUAAAUAAAUAAUAUGAAGUAAG